GUUUUUAGCUGGUUGCUUUCGCCUAGCACGGUGGUGGGAGGGAGGUGCUCCUGAUUUCAGUCGAUGGAUCAGUGGUCAAUCAGAAUUCGGCUGGUUGCUUACGCCUAACAAAGUGGGAGGGGGUAAUGAUUGGAUCAGUGGUCCUCCUUUUAACUCUUCUUCUUCCUCUCUUUGUGGCCAACUUAAACUUGGUAUUGUGAUUAUUUCUUUCAAGAAUUUUUGUUGGGUGCUCUUCUCUAACAUCUUUUAUGGAUUAAUCGAUCAGUUCUUCCUAGAAUUCCAUCCAUCCAUUUGUUCAUGUCAAUCCUUUUCCAUCUCCAUAAUGAAAGUAUUCUCUCUUUUUUUCC
Long non-coding RNA from Musa acuminata AAA Group (dessert banana), 347 nucleotides. RefSeq lists it as uncharacterized. The record is from RefSeq and is a predicted model, not a curated record. Lineage: Eukaryota; Viridiplantae; Streptophyta; Magnoliopsida; Zingiberales; Musaceae. The transcript has 2 exons.